UUUCGCCUUACUUCCGCAGUCUGUUGUCAUGGUGACGCGGAUUGCUCCUUUGUAGCUGUGGAUAUUCUGUCCAGAUUCUGUUUAUGUUCAUAGUUUAGUUAUGAAAGUGGUGUGUGUGUGUGUUUAGAGACAUGGUGAUGAGUGUGAGUCAGCGUUCUGUGGACAGAAUUCUGGCAGCUAUUGUGUUGGUGGUGGUGUUGGUGUCCUGGGGUUUUGUGAUCUACGCUGCUCGUGUAGCUGCUCAGUGGGAGCUGGAGAAGAGAACCAGCACACAGCGAUGAAGGAGGAAACACACACACACUGAGACACGGCAUGGAGAA
Silurus meridionalis is the source of this 320-nucleotide long non-coding RNA. RefSeq lists it as uncharacterized. The record is from RefSeq and is a predicted model, not a curated record. The transcript has 2 exons. Lineage: Eukaryota; Metazoa; Chordata; Actinopteri; Siluriformes; Siluridae.